RNAcentral lists this ribosomal RNA (225 nucleotides) under uncultured Glomeromycotina. RNAcentral describes it as "partial small subunit ribosomal RNA". It matches the Rfam family "Eukaryotic small subunit ribosomal RNA", at positions 667 to 873 of the family's 1831-position model. The record is from RNAcentral. Lineage: Eukaryota; Fungi; Glomeromycota.
GGAUCAAUGUUUCGGUCAUGCCGUUGGUAUGUACUGAUAUUAUUGGUUUCUCACCUUCUAAAGAACCGUAAUGCCAUUAAUUUGGUGUCACGGGGAAUUAGGACUGUUACCUUGAAAAAUUAGAGUGUUUAAAGCAGGCUUACGCUUGAAUACAUUAGCAUGGAAUAAUGAAAUAGGACAUCCGAUUCUAUUUUGUUGGUUUCUAGGAUCGAUGUAAUGAUUAAU